This 421-nucleotide long non-coding RNA is filed under the name Homo sapiens (human). RNAcentral describes it as "HSALNT0360940". The record is from RNAcentral. Lineage: Eukaryota; Metazoa; Chordata; Mammalia; Primates; Hominidae.
GGAUGUGGUCAACUCAGCAAUCGGUGCUGUGCUUUGGUGGGUGUUGGGGUUGGGGUCACCGUAGUGGUGGUGCUGAUGGGUAUCAUGGUUGGGGUCUGUGUGCCGGUGGGUGUUGGGGUUGCGGUCACCGUAGUUGUGGUGGUGAUGGGUGUCACGGUUGUACUCUUUGUGCUGGUGGGUGUUGGGGUUGGGGUCAUCGUAGUGGUGGUGGUGAUGAGUACCGUGGUUGGGGUCUGUGUGCCGGUGGGUGUCGGGGUUGGGGUCACCGUAGUGGUGGUGCUGAUGGGUGUCGAUGUUGGGGUCUGUGUGCCGGUGGGUGUUGGGGUUGGGGUCACCAUAGUGGUGGUGGUGAUGGGUGUCAGGGUUGUACUCGGUGUGCCGGUUGGUGUUGGGGUUGGGGUCGGGGUGGUGGUGGUGGUGG